RNAcentral lists this ribosomal RNA (1834 nucleotides) under Paraclostridium sp. AKS46. Its description in RNAcentral is "partial 23S ribosomal RNA". It matches the Rfam family "Bacterial large subunit ribosomal RNA", at positions 326 to 2164 of the family's 2925-position model. Lineage: Bacteria; Bacillati; Bacillota; Clostridia; Peptostreptococcales; Peptostreptococcaceae. The record is from RNAcentral.
AUCGUAAACGAAGAGAGUUGGAAAGCUCCGCUAUAAAGUGUAAUAGCCACGUAGUUGAAACGAGAAGACUUUAGAUGUGAUCCAGAGUACCACGGGACACGUGAAACCCUGUGGGAAGCAGGAGGGACCAUCCUCCAAGGCUAAAUACUACUUAGUGACCGAUAGCGCAUAGUACCGUGAGGGAAAGGUGAAAAGAACCCCGGGAGGGGAGUGAAAUAGAACCUGAAACCCUGCGCUUACAAGCUGUGGAAGCACUUUAUAUGUGUGACCGCGUACUUUUUGUAGAACGGGCCAACGAGUUACGAUAGUAAGCUAGGUUAAGUACUUAAGGUAUGGAGCCGUAGUGAAAGCGAGUCUUAAAUGGGCGUUAAGUUUGCUGUCGUAGACCCGAAACCGAGCGACCUAUCCAUGAGCAGGAUGAAGCGAAAGUAAAAUUUCGUGGAGGUCCGAACCCACGAGCGUUGAAAAGCUCGGGGAUGACUUGUGGAUAGCGGUGAAAUUCCAAUCGAGCUCGGAGAUAGCUGGUUCUCCCCGAAAUAGCUUUAGGGCUAGCCUCAAGGUUGAGAAAUACGGAGGUAGAGCACUGAAUAUCCUAGGGGGCAUUGCGCUUACCGAAGAUUAUCAAACUCCGAAUGCCGUUAUUUUAUACUUGGGAGUCAGACUGUGGGUAAUAAGAUUCAUAGUCGAGAGGGCAACAGCCCAGAUCGUCAGCUAAGGUCCCUAAAUGUAAGUUAAGUGGUAAAGGAUGUGGGAUUGCAUAGACAACCAGGAUGUUGGCUUAGAAGCAGCCACUCAUUUAAAGAGUGCGUAAUAGCUCACUGGUCGAGUGAUCCUGCGCCGAAGAUUACCGGGGCUAAAACUUACUACCGAAGCUACGAUAUCAUUUAUGAUAGGUAGGGGAGCUUCCUAUGCAGGCUGAAGCAUGACCGUAAGGACGUGUGGACAGUAUAGGAGUGAGAAUGUUGGCAUGAGUAGCGAGACGUGGGUGAGAAUCCCACGGGCCGUAAACCCAAGGUUUCCAGGGGAAGGUUCGUCCGCCCUGGGUUAGUCGGGACCUAAGCCGAGGCCGAAAGGCGUAGGUGAUGGACAACAGGUUGAGAUUCCUGUACCACCGAUAAUCGUUUGAGAGAUGGAAUGACACAGUAGGAUAAGCUAACCACACUGUUGGUUAUGUGUGGCUAAGUACUGAGGCAGUCAAGGCAGGCAAAUCCGCCAUGAUAAUGCUGGGGUACGAUGGGGAGCGAAAUUAAGUAGCGAAGUAGCUGAUUUCACACUGUCGAGAAAAGUUUCUAUCGAGAUUAAAGGUGCCCGUACCGCAAACCGACACAGGUGGGUGAGGAGAGUAUCCUAAGGCCAGCGAGAGAACUGUUGUUAAGGAACUCGGCAAAAUGACCCCGUAACUUAGGGAGAAGGGGUGCCACGUUAGGGUUAACGCCCGAGGUGGCCGCAGAGAAUAGGCCCAAGCGACUGUUUACCAAAAACACAGGUUUCUGCUAAGUCGCAAGACGAUGUAUAGGAGCUGACGCCUGCCCGGUGCUGGAAGGUUAAGGGGAUCUGUUAGGAUUUAUCCGAAGCAGUGAACUUAAGCCCCAGUAAACGGCGGCCGUAACUAUAACGGUCCUAAGGUAGCGAAAUUCCUUGUCGGGUAAGUUCCGACCCGCACGAAAGGCGUAACGAUUUGGGCACUGUCUCAACAACAGACUCGGUGAAAUUGUAAUCCCGGUGAAGAUGCCGGGUACCUGCGACAGGACGGAAAGACCCCAUGGAGCUUUACUGUAGCUUGACAUUGAAUUUUGGUGCUACAUGUACAGGAUAGGUGGGAGGCUAUGAAAUC